Pan troglodytes (chimpanzee) is the source of this 148-nucleotide non-coding RNA. It matches the Rfam family "Metazoan signal recognition particle RNA". From Rfam's summary of the family: The signal recognition particle (SRP) is a universally conserved ribonucleoprotein. It is involved in the co-translational targeting of proteins to membranes. The eukaryotic SRP consists of a 300-nucleotide 7S RNA and six proteins: SRPs 72, 68, 54, 19, 14, and 9. NCBI's taxonomy places the organism in Eukaryota, Metazoa, Chordata, Mammalia, Primates, Hominidae. The record is from Rfam.
GCUGGGUGUGGUGGCGGGCACCUGUAAUCCGAGCUACUUGGGAGGCUGAGGCAGAAGAAUUGCUUGAACCCGGGAAGUGGAGGUUGCAGUGAACUGAGAUUGCACCACUGCAUUUCAGCCUGAGUGACAGAGCAAGACUCUGUCUCAA